This is a long non-coding RNA of Mastomys coucha (southern multimammate mouse), 329 nucleotides long. RefSeq lists it as uncharacterized. The transcript has 2 exons. NCBI's taxonomy places the organism in Eukaryota, Metazoa, Chordata, Mammalia, Rodentia, Muridae. The record is from RefSeq and is a predicted model, not a curated record.
AGUAGGUCACAGGCAUCUCGACGUAACUACGUUGUUCAAGAUUUCACAGAGGGAAAGGCUCUGUCUGAGGACUCGUCGACUCUCAAUGCACGGACUGGAGUUGUAGUUAUACUUUCCCCAACCCAAGCCAUUUAUGUAUACUGCAUUGUUUCUAUGGAAGCUUGCAUGGAAUACAGACAUUAAAAAGCAACUCCAGAGGCAGAGUCCAUGAUGGCCAGAGAAGGAUGACAGCAGGUGGCUGGAGUAGGAGGCCAGGAGGUCCCAUCUCAACUACACACAGAAGCAGAGUGAGAAGAGCAUGUGGGGGACAGCGAUAAAUCCUUAAACCC